CGUAGGUAAACCGAUAAACAGUCAUGGCGGAAGCCGUAGCAUGCCAAUUGCAGUACGAGAACAAGGAGGUAGGUACCAAACAGACUGCAUGUAAGAUUCCCAGCGCUCCAUGCUGUCUACACCACAUUUUCUGUGAUCUUUUUUGCAAAUUUCGUAAAUGUUUUAUGUUUUUAGAACUCUAUUCUCUUGCUGCAUGCCGGCGUGCGACUAAUAGGUCUGCUACGUAGUGGGGAAGUUGGAUGGCACGCAAAUGAGUGACCACGCGGAAUGACACAAGCGUCCGAUGAACUGUGCGGUAGCCUAUUAGGCCUCGGUAUCAGACGAUCGAUUCGUGUUCCUGGUCCAUCCUGGAUAGAUCUCACAGAUGACAAGGAUGCCAUAAAUACUCUGACUUUGACAAGUCAAGCAGCAGAAACUGAUCCUCAGGCCCAUUGCCAGCGGAUAAGGAUGCGUCAACUGUAGGAGCUCGAUGAGCUGGCCUUGACCUAUGUGCCUGUGCCUGCCAUAGAUCUGGCCCAGAUGGUAACUCAGAGCACGAACAAGGAAUCAUAUUUACAAUAAUUGCCGCACUAUAGUUUCGAUAUUGUAAUGGNGUACGUUAACCGAUAAACAGUCAUGGCGGAAGCCGUAGCAUGCCAAUUGCAGUACGAGAACAAGGAGGUAGGUACCAAACAGACUGCAUGUAAGAUUCCCAGCGCUCCAUGCUGUCUACACCACAUUUUCUGUGAUCUUUUUUGCAAAUUUCGUAAAUGUUUUAUGUUUUUAGAACUCUAUUCUCUUGCUGCAUGCCGGCGUGCGACUAAUAGGUCUGCUACGUAGUGGGGAAGUUGGAUGGCACGCAAAUGAGUGACCACGCGGAAUGACACAAGCGUCCGAUGAACUGUGCGGUAGCCUAUUAGGCCUCGGUAUCAGACGAUCGAUUCGUGUUCCUGGUCCAUCCUGGAUAGAUCUCACAGAUGACAAGGAUGCCAUAAAUACUCUGACUUUGACAAGUCAAGCAGCAGAAACUGAUCCUCAGGCCCAUUGCCAGCGGAUAAGGAUGCGUCAACUGUAGGAGCUCGAUGAGCUGGCCUUGACCUAUGUGCCUGUGCCUGCCAUAGAUCUGGCCCAGAUGGUAACUCAGAGCACGAACAAGGAAUCAUAUUUACAAUAAUUGCCGCACUAUAGUUUCGAUAUUGUAAUGGGAUGCGCAGAGAAGGUAAGGUGAUGACUUCAAACGAUACAGGAGGCACUUCCGCUCAGAAAGAGGCGUCCCAUGUCCUGAUCCGACAGGACACAGCCAAAUGAUGGCGUUAUAGGGAUUACAUUUAAAAACAUCCUUAAAAUGCCAUUAUCCUUAAAGUCCUUACAUCCGAAAGGACUGAAAACGAUAAAGGACAUUCGCCUGAUCACGAGGAGGUGUGGCAUGUCCUGAUCGGCUCCCAAAUUAAGGAGAAAACAAUAAAACAAAACAUUGAUUUUACCAGAAAUUGUCUUUUUACAUGCUCCUGUUUGGUGUUUUUCAGAAAAUCUAAACGCUUUUCGGCAUAAUGGAGCUGGAGGAUGAGGAUCGUACGCGUCUCUAGCAGGUCUCCAGACAGAUCGCCGAUGGGGCCCGAUUCGCCAACUAUGUGGUCAAUCUGGAGAGUGAAUGCUCUUCAAUGUAACCUUCUUCCAUUCGAAGAUCGAGAAAGGCAAGCAUGAUCCACUCCUCUUUGGGAUGCAAUCAGGACUACAAGUUCUACAUCGAAGUGGCCGAUUUCCAAUCUGAUUUGAUACCAUGUCGGAGUAGGUUACGUUUAGGUUAAUCAGAUUUAGAUUAGCAUUACACAAAUAUCAACCAAUUUUGUAAACAUGGAAUGAAGCAAGUUUUGUGUAACAAUAAAAAGUGUGGCAUGCUUUCAGGAUGCUACGAUAUUGUUUUCCAAUAUUUGAAGUAUCUUUUGGGGGCU
This 1931-nucleotide long non-coding RNA is filed under the name Drosophila guanche. The record is from RNAcentral. Lineage: Eukaryota; Metazoa; Arthropoda; Insecta; Diptera; Drosophilidae.